CGCCCCCCCUUGGGUUGUGCCGUGGCGGAGAUUUUUGUGGGCUAUACUCGGCCUUGUCUCAGGAUGGUAAGUUGGUGUUUGAAGAUAUCCCUCUAGUGGUGUGGGGGCUGUGCUUUGGCAAAGUGGGUGUGGUUAUAUCCUUCCUGUUUGGCCCUGUCCGGGGGUAUCAUCAGAUGGGGCCACAGUGUCUCCUGAUCCCUCCUGUCUCAGCCUCCAGUAUUUAUGCUGCAGUAGUUUAUGUGUUGGGGGACUAGGGUCAGUCUGUUAUAUCUGGAGUAUUUCUCCUGUCUUAUCCUGUCACGGUUUUCAUCGGUAAUGGAGGACCAAAACGCAGCAGGACCUGAGCCCUAGGACCAUGCCUCAGGACUACCUGACAUGAUGACUCCUUGCUGUCCCCAGUCCACCUGGUCGUGCAGCUGCUCCAGUUUCAACUGUUCUGCCUAUGGAACCCUGACCUGUUCACCGGACGUGCUACUGUAACAGUGGGGAGAGAGUCUCCGCCAGGAAUUUACGACCUGAGAUAACAGAACCUGGGUGUAGGAGAGAGCGAGAGAGGCUGGAAGCCACGAUCUACACCCAGAAAGGGCCACGUCAUGACAGCAUUCAGCUGUACAACUGACUAGGACCUGAGCCCUAGGACCAUGCCUCAGGACUACCUGACAUGAUGACUCCUUGCUGUCCCCAGUCCACCUGGCCGUGCUGCUGCUCCAGUUUCAACUGUUCUGCCUGCGGCUAUGGAACCCCGACCUGUUCACCGGACGUGCUACCUGUCCCAGACCUGCUGUUUUCAACUCUCUAGAGACAGCAGGAGCGGUAGAGAUACUCUCAAUGAUCGGCUAUGAAAAGCCAACUGACAUUUACUCUUGAGGUGCUGACUUGUUACACCCUCGACAACUACUGUGAUUAUUAUUAUUUGACCAUGCUGGUAAUUUAUGAACAUUUGAACAUCUUGGCCAUGUUCUGUUAUAAUCUCCACCCGGCACAGCCAGAAGAGGACUGGCCACCCCUCAUAGCCUGGUUCCUCUCUAGGUUUCUUCCUAGGUUUUGGCCUUUCUAGGGAGUUUUUCCAAGCCACCGUGCUUCUACACCUGCAUUGCUUGCUGUUUGGGGUUUUAGGCUGGGUUUCUGUACAGCACUUUUAGAUAUCAGCUGAUGUAAGAAGGGCUAUAUAAAUACAUUUGAUUUGAUUUGAUUUAGUUCUUGGAAUGCCGUACACCUGAUCAAAGAACCAUACAGAGCAGGAUUGGUAGCCUGAUCAAAGAACCAUACGAGCAGGAUUGGUAGCCUGAUCAAAGAACCAUACAGAGCAGGAUUGGUAGUAAGGAAAAUGGCACUGCGUUCCUCUCAUCGCACAAAGCUUUUGAUCAUUAAAUCAUAUGAUUUAUCUACGAGUGCAUCUAUCCCAGAUUAUUCUAUUCAGAUAUAUUAUGAAUAAAAGGGUUCCUCAUUUGUGAAUCACUUUCUAGUUGGUUGGUGACUCCGAUGCGGUGUCUGGGAAUGGCUGUGUGGCUUUCUGUUCGACUGGAGAUAGUUACUGAGGGUUUCAAAAUCAUACAGAUUGUAAUGUCCCAGUUGUCAUUGUCCCCAAUGCAAUGGUUAGCUUGUUUGCACCAACAUGUUUUCCUUCUUCAUUGUCUAUUCUUUUUGAUGUUCCAAUGCCCACAAAAUGUGUACACCUAUAAACAUAGGAAUUCACAGUCCACUUGGUUCUAAUACAGUUUGAAAUAUUGUAACAUUGCAAGAGUUGGAUUUUGAACUGAAGCAGGAAGAAUCACCACGGGGUUGUAUAGUGAAAAAGGAAUAUUCUGAAACAAACUGUUUCUACCUCUAAUGAUGACAACAAAGCCUGAGCUUCAGGACCUGUGUGAUGUUCAGUUAUAGAGAGAGAGAUAAAGAGAGAGAUCUGCUUUGAUGUAGAGACACAUGAAAGAGUCUCUCCCCACCAGGGUGGGUGUCCCUGUGCCAUACCUCAGGACAGCAAUCAGUAGAAAUCUCUCUCUCUCUCUCUCUCUCUCUCUCUCUCUCUCUCUCUCUCUCUCUCUCUCUCUCUCUCUCUCUCUCUCUCUCUCUCUCUCUCUCUCUCUCUCUCUCAUAUAUUUAAGGGCAUACAUUUCCAAAACAAGGGGAAUAGAUAAUAAACAAAAGUGAAAUAAACAACACAAAUGUUUAUAGUAAACAUUACACUCAAAAAUGUUCCAGAAGAAUAAAGACAUUUCAAAUGUAAUACUAUGUGCAAAUAGUUAAAGUACAAAAGGGAAAUAAAUAAACAUAAAUAUGGGUUGUAUUUACAAUUGUGCUGGUUCUUCACUGUUUGCCCUUUUCUUGUGGCAACAGGUCACAAAUCGUGUUGCUGUGAUGGCACACUGUGGUAUUUCACCCAGUAGAUAUGGGAGUUUAUUUUCUAAUUCUUUGUGGGUCUGUGUAAUCUGAGGGACAUAUGUAUCUCUAAAAUGGUCAUACAUUUGAUAUGAGUUUAGGAAGUACAACUAAGUUUUCACCUCAUUUUGUGGGAACCCCCUCUCUGGCGGUCUAGGUAGCCAGACUGCUCAUCAUUACACACACCUGUCAGCAUCGUCACACGCACCAGCGUGUCAUCGGACUCCGCUAUAUCUGUAACUUCCUCAGUUUCAUUCCCGUCUCUGCAUUGAUGUUGUUUUGGUUCUCUUAUCCAGACACUGUUCUUGUUUAG
This 2689-nucleotide long non-coding RNA is filed under the name Salmo salar (Atlantic salmon). Its description in RNAcentral is "lncRNA (ENSSSAG00000088591.1)". Lineage: Eukaryota; Metazoa; Chordata; Actinopteri; Salmoniformes; Salmonidae. The record is from RNAcentral.